This 396-nucleotide ribosomal RNA is filed under the name Streptomyces coelicolor. RNAcentral describes it as "bacterial SSU rRNA". It matches the Rfam family "Bacterial small subunit ribosomal RNA", at positions 335 to 756 of the family's 1533-position model. Lineage: Bacteria; Bacillati; Actinomycetota; Actinomycetes; Kitasatosporales; Streptomycetaceae. The record is from RNAcentral.
ACUCCUACGGGAGGCAGCAUUGGGGAAUAUUGCACAAGGGGCGAAAGCCUGAUGCACCGACCCCGCGUGAGGAAUGACGGCCUUCGGGUUGUAAACCUCUUUCACCAGGAAAAAAGCAAAAGUGACGGUACCUGCAAAAAAAGCGCCGGCUACCUACUUGCCACCACCCGCGGUAUUACUUAGGCCGCAGCGUUGUCCGGAUUUAUUGGGCGUAAGAGCUCGUAGGCGGCUUGUCACGUCGGUUGUGAAGCCCGGGCUUACCCCCGGUCUGCAGUCAUACGGCAGGCUAGAGUUCGUUAGGGAAGAUCGAUUCCUGUUGUAGCGUUGAAUGCGCAAUAUCAGGAGGACCACCGUUGCCGAGGCGGAUCUCUGGGCCGAUACUGACGCUGAGAGCGA